UACAGAGGGUGCGAGCGUUGUCCGGAAUCACUGGGCGUAAGGGCGCGUAGGUGGCCCGACAAGUCAGGGGUGAAAGUUCGACGCUUAACGUCGAAUCGGCCACUGAUACUGUUGGGCUGGAGCACUGUAGAGGCUCAUGGAAUUCCGGGUGUAGCGGUGGAAUGCGUAGAGAUCCGGAAGAACACCGGUGGCGAAGGCGGUGAGCUGGGCAGUUGCUGACACUGAGGCGCGACAGCGUGGGGAGCAAACAGG
Molecule: ribosomal RNA, 252 nt
Filed under: uncultured bacterium
Lineage: Bacteria
Description: partial 16S ribosomal RNA
Rfam family: Bacterial small subunit ribosomal RNA
Source: RNAcentral